UUGCUUCUUCCUCCGCGGCCACAGUUGAAGAGAACGCUGCAAACUAAGCUUCGAUCAUGGAGAGAUGCAUGCCCGCGACCGGCUUGGGUACGAGUAACAAUACUGACAGACCGAUGAGAGGCGAGAGGCGCAGGGGCGAUGGCUCCCAAGACCUUUUCCUUUGUAAUCUCAACUUUGCUGACGACGGCGACGAGGAGAAGCAAAGGGUGGCACGAAGAAGCGCCUCUGGCUCGAGCCUCCGCUAUAUCAUUAUUGCAUGUGGGGCAGCAAACCCACGAAGAGAGACCAUCCAAAAGAGGAUUUUGGUCACUUCCCGCAGUCGCCAUUCAAGGAUUUCUGUCGAAAUUAUAUGGAUGGCUUCGGGGUUUCGCGGCAGAGAUCGUCAUCACGGUCUGCUGGACGACGUAGGGGAGAGGAACGCUGGAGAAUUUUGAUUGUGGCGGGUGAGGAAGCGAUCGAAUUGGGGAUUCUCCGGCGCAAAAGUCCAAUCUUGGAGAAGUUGGCUGGCAUAACGUAAGAAGGUGGAGGAAGCCGAUCAAAAAGAUAGAAAUUGGUGGGUGAGUCUGCUGGACGACAUUGGUGGUGGCUGAGUCUGCCACAUAGGAGGCACCACCAGAAGUCACCGAUGACAUUUUCAAGAAGAUCAAGGUGACCGGGCUAAUACGUAAUGCUGUUGCCAUGGUUGUUGUGCUCUGCAAAGCGGGCUAGUUCAGGAAGCCAUGAAGCUGUUUGGAUUAAUGCGUCAGAAGGGUAUGGUACCUUAUGAUGUGAUUCACAUUGCUGUUGUGGCAGGAGUCCACAAGACAGCAAAAUUUGAUGAUAUAAGGAGGAUCUUCAGGAAAAUGCAUAAGCACAGAGUUGUGCCGAUUGCAUUCAGCUACAAAAUUCUCAUUCAGGACUUAUGCAGAGGAUAGAAAUUGGAGGAUUCAGUUGAGUUCUGCACGGAGAUUGUUGGGCACUGGGCAUUCACCAAGUGUGAUGGCUUUUAUGGGUUUGGUCGAUGGAUUCUGUAAAAAGAAGGGGGUGAAGGAAGCUGAGAAUGUUGUCAAGAGGCUGCAGGAGGGAGAUGUUUUGUUCUUGAUGGAAAAAGCUGUUGGAGUGCAUUUGGACAAGACAGGACCAUUCUCGCCAAUGGUUCUGAAGGCCAUCGUCAGGAAAAAGAACUCAUGAAGACGACGUCAGAACAACUCUCCUUAGUGCUGGAUUCUUCUUGCAUGAUCGCAACACAUUUAGAGUGCCGGUGACUGCAGGAUCCAGUAUCUCAGCCUGCUAAAUGUCAACACCAGGAGCCAUGGCCACAAACAACAAAAUGAGACAAAUUUCCACAAAUGCAACUAAGCUGUAUGUUCUCCUGACCAUUUUUCUCUCUCCUUUGCAAGCAGUUUUAAGAGAGAACUAUUUUCCAUGUGUCCAACUCCAAAUAAGAGGGAAGAAUAGCAGUUUUCGGCUACUGUUCAAAUGGACAUGCCAUGAUGAGAGGAACUGCAUACCUUGGGAUACAUGGCUAUGACCACGGGAGAUGCGGUAUGGAAGACACCUUCACAUCCCAUUACGGCAUCAUCAAAGCUGCCUUCAUCCAUGAGAUUGGCCUUCACAAGCUGAAGCCUGUCCUUUGCACCUUCCAACUCCCACAAAUGGGCCAAUUUCUUAUGGCCCCCUGCAAAUCUGUUAUUGUUAGUUCCAUCUUGUAAUCCGAAGAGAUGAGUAAAUCGAGUCCAAAUGAGCACUGAAUUCUGUCUAUUGAUGAAUGUCUAUUGAUGAACAGGGACAUGAGUUGAUGAUGAAGAAGAAGAAAUGGAGUGAUGGAACCUGGGUCUCGGACUGUUCCUAUUACAUGAUACCCAGACUGUAGAAGUCGCUUAACAAGCCAAGAAGCAACAUAACCAGAAGCGCCUGUCACACACACCCUGCCUUUGCUACCUGAAACCUCGUCCAUUCUGUCAGAAAUGUGGAGACUUCCAUGUCUAUUUAUACAUGUACUCCAGAGCUUGUUAUGUAAGCCAAGAUGGGUAGUUCAUCGCCUUUUGAUGUUCCCUGACGUUACUUGUAACUCAUACGUAUCAUGUCAUGCACACUCUUGGUGGACAUAAUCUUUUGGAGGAAAAUACACAAAACUCAUGAUAGGCACAAGAAAGACUUUGGCGUCCCAGAGAAGUCGCCAUCUUGGCUUUCUAAUGGAGAUCAAAAUGAACGGAUGUGGUGAGGGGGAGCUUCAGUAAUGUUGAUAUAGUAUGCUAAGUGGCUUAUUUGUUA
Molecule: long non-coding RNA, 2253 nt
Organism: Musa acuminata AAA Group (dessert banana)
Lineage: Eukaryota; Viridiplantae; Streptophyta; Magnoliopsida; Zingiberales; Musaceae
Exons: 2
Source: RefSeq, a predicted model, not a curated record